GAUGAACGCUGGCGGCGUGCCUAAUACAUGCAAGUCGAGCGAACGGACGAGAAGCUUGCUUCUCUGAUGUUAGCGGCGGACGGGUGAGUAACACGUGGAUAACCUACCUAUAAGACUGGGAUAACUUCGGGAAACCGGAGCUAAUACCGGAUAAUAUUUUGAACCGCAUGGUUCAAAAGUGAAAGACGGUCUUGCUGUCACUUAUAGAUGGAUCCGCGCUGCAUUAGCUAGUUGGUAAGGUAACGGCUUACCAAGGCAACGAUGCAUAGCCGACCUGAGAGGGUGAUCGGCCACACUGGAACUGGAACACGGUCCAGACUCCUACGGGAGGCACCAGUAGGGAAUCUGCCGCAAUGGGCGAAAGCCUGACGGAGCAACGCCGCGUGAGUGAUGAAGGUCUUCGGAUCGUAAAACUCUGUUAUUAGGGAAGAACAUAUGUGUAAGUAACUGUGCACAUCUUGACGGUACCUAAUCAGAAAGCCACGGCUAACUACGUG
Molecule: ribosomal RNA, 497 nt
Filed under: uncultured bacterium
Lineage: Bacteria
Description: partial 16S ribosomal RNA
Rfam family: Bacterial small subunit ribosomal RNA
Source: RNAcentral